Molecule: ribosomal RNA, 774 nt
Filed under: uncultured Neocallimastigales
Lineage: Eukaryota; Fungi; Neocallimastigomycota; Neocallimastigomycetes; Neocallimastigales
Description: partial large subunit ribosomal RNA
Rfam family: Eukaryotic large subunit ribosomal RNA
Source: RNAcentral
UACGACUACAUAUCAGGCAUAUCAAUAAGCGGAGGAAAAGAAACUAACAAGGAUUCCCUCAGUAACGGCGAGUGAAGCGGGAAGAGCUCAAAUUUGAAAUCUUCAAGGUUCUACCUUGACGAAUUGUAGUUUAAAGAAGUGUUUUCUGUUAGAUGAGUAGCAAAAGUUCCUUGGAAUGGGACAUCAUAGAGGGUGAGAAUCCCGUAUUUGGUUAUUCAUUCUAGCUUUGUGAUACACUUUCAAAGAGUCGGAUUGUUUGGGAAUGCAGUCCAAAAUGGGUGGUAAAUUUCAUCUAAAGCUAAAUAUUGGCGAGAGACCGAUAGCGAACAAGUACCGUGAGGGAAAGAUGAAAAGAACUUUGAAAAGAGAGUUAAACAGUACGUGAAAUUGUCAAAAGGGAAGCGUUUGACACCAGUGUUGUUUUUCCAAAAAUCAAUUACGAAUGGCUUGAUUUUGUGUUGUAUUGACCUUAUCAGCUUUCUUCACUUUUUUCGAGUCUUUCUUAAUGCACUUUUUGGUUAACAAGUCAACAUCAAUUUCUUUUGUCGUAAAAGAGUAUUCGGAAGGUGGCUUUCUUUUCGGAGAAAGUGUUUAUAGCCCUAUACUUCUACAAUCGGAGAGAUUGAGGUCUGCAGCGUAGAUCCUUCGGGGUUAGAUACACUUGUGCUAAGUUGUAGCUUUUCAUAGACAACUUGUUGACUAUGUUUAGUCAUGCGGCUUACUCGCUUGUGCUAUUUUACCUACGCUUAGGAUGUUGAGUAGCGACAUACGCAC